CAGGCGGUGGAGGAAAUGAAGAGGCGCUCCAGGGAGGGGCACGGCCAAGAGGCCAGGGCGGAGCGGGGAGAGCCGGUGGUGAGCGCAGCUGCCCUGCGACAUGGACGGCCCUUCGCGCUGCUGCUGCUGGCCCAGGACACAGCAGGGGUCGUGAUGGCAGCUCUUGGGCAGUGUCCUCUGCACCCCGGCCCCUUCGGCUCUCCACGCACCCAGGCGGGGCCACCUCCUCCAGGCUCUGCUGGGACACUGCUCUUGGUUCUGCAGACAAAGUGCCUCAACUUCCACAAUCGGCACUUCCCAGAUCAAUCAUCACCUACUUUAUCAUCCAGUUUGGUUGGUUCAGAUGACUUUAAACAGGUUCCUAUGGAAGAAUGAAACACAGCGAGGAGAAGAGAAUUGCCGAUUCCCAGGGGCCUGUGUCUGCCAGCGGCUGCUGAGUACCUCUGAGAAACUCUGCUUUGAGCUAAUAGGAACCCCCUGUUCUGGGAAGAUCAGUAUAUGGAACAAAAACCUCUGGGUGGACCCCUGGGCAAGAUGAAUUUGACCGACCAUAUGUUCCAGGACUCCAGCGAGAACAUCACCACCUCAACGUCAGGCCCCACACUACCCAGCAGGACUAUUUAAGAAACAACAGAAGCAUCAGACCAACUUUCUCCACAAAUCCUUGGAGCUUUCCUGCCAUGCCGAUGCCAUAUAUUCCAACGUGAUCAACCUGGCACCCAGGAAAGAGGAUGACUUCGCUGUCUAUGCCAACGUGCCCCCUUUCAACCGCCCCAGGAGGACAUCACCAGACCACGUGGAAUAUGCCUCCAUUGUAUUUCACUGAUGAGAGGCUCGUGAGAUGCUUCAGAGUGGAGAGUCAGACCUGUGCCUAUCUGUAUCCUGAUGCGGCUUUUGCUCUAGAUAUGUGUGUAUAUGUGUGCAUGUGUGUGUGUGUGUCUUUGCACGUGCCUGUGUGUGUUCAUGCCCGCCCAUGCUCAAAAAACCAUAAUAUGUAUUCUGAUGGAGGUAAAUGACUUGGUAUUUCUUCUAAUUUAUUGGAAGCAAGGUGCAGUUCUAAUGGAAAGGGGUGACAUCUGAGUGACAAGGGACAUAGUCAUUUCAGCCACUCUGAGCCAGAGGCAGGUUCCUGAGAGAGACUGGCCGAAAGAAGAGCCGUCUCUCUCCCCUGCCCCUCAUAAGGCCAGGGCUGAGGAGCAGGGCUCACCCCACUCAGGGACCAGCUCCCGGACUUCGUCUCUGCUGUGCUGCCCUGUAAGGAGCUGACUCCCUGCAGAGGUUAACGCGUGCGUCACACUCAGGUCUGUGGCUGAUCACCACGCACAUUUUCACAGCAGCUUUCCAGGGCCAUGCAGCAAGUGUGGAGGGAGACGGCGUGGGGGAGCUGCAAGUCCAUGGGGUCUCAAAGAGUUGGACAUGACUGAAGCAACUUAGCACGCAAAUGCAAUGGAGAAAAGAAAAUUUCAUUUAAAAACAAAGCUUAUGGAAGCCACUUUCAUCUUCGAGGAUGAUGUGAUUCACAUCGUUAAGAAAACACCUAUUCUACGGAUCCAUUCCAUCUAUAGAGACUGGAGAGGGGAGAUGAAAGUAGGAAGGAAACACAAAGAUUUCCAAGCCUCUGCCUUCUUUUCUAUUGAUAAUGGGAAAGUUCAAGAGCAGGCAACCCUUUGUCUUUAACACAGCUGUAUGAUGACCAGGUACCCUGAUUUGUUGGGGAUUUUCCUGGUGUACAACUGUGGUCCCAGCAAAAUUAUUAUUAGAUCCCCUUUCAUUCUCUAAAUUGUCAUAGUUUGGAUGAUAGAUUAUGUGGUCACCUGUUCACAAGAUUUUGAGAGUGCAAAAGCAAUUCCAAGACCAAUAAGGAAGGGAAAGCAAAGUUGUUUUGUACAAUAAAGUGGGAACGGAAUCGGGGUGGGAGUGGAGGAGGCUGCAUGUACGGUGCCUUGGGGAGGUGCGAGGGCAGUCUGGAGGCCAAACGGAGCUAAAAUCACAUAAAGAUUUCCACCACCAUAAACCUUGGUAAAGCCCAGUGAACACAACAAUUCCUGGUGCGGGUAUUUAGGGGAAGGGGGCACCAUGGAAAGGGAACCGAAGUCUACAUCUAGGUCAGCACAGAGCAGAAAUAAAGGGAAGUGGUAAGAGGUGCAAUAUGAAUGAGCUGGACCGUUCAGAGGAAGGCUGAGCUCAGAGCCGGAAGAGAACACAAGAAUGCAAACUCUCUGAAACUUCUCAGAAAUCUCAGGGAGGGGACCAGAGUUUCGGAAGAACCUACAGUUGGGAGGUUAACAACGGUAUUUAAUGGGUAGUUUGACCUCAGCAUGAAUCUGGGUUGUAAAAUUUAAACAGCUUCCUUUAUGGUGAGACUUCUCAGAGGCUUCAAUAUGUAAUCUACUUCAUGAAUAAAGUCCUUCAUGAAUAAAGCUCUCUUUUGUUUUCCUAGGGAGCAUUCCAUAGGGCAGGAAGUAAUCCUUGUAACAUCCUGUGGGAAGGCUUUUUUAAGGGGCCACCUGCCCAGGAGGCACUGUCACAGGGAUCUCGGGUGGUGUGGGCCUGGAACGGCUUGCCGUGAAGCCUCUGUUCCCGGCCAGAGGUUGGGGUCAGGUCACGGCGGUGAGAGCACCAAAUUCCGGCCACUAGACCAGUGGUCGGUGACAAGGCCCUGCCCCUUCAGCUUUGAGGCAGAAGAAUUUCCACAAAGAUGGAAAGUAAUGUUACAAAGUAUUUAUUAGGAAGAAAAAGUACAGUACUUAUGGAUAGACAUACGAAAGAGAGAGUCACACUGUCGUGGUGGUUUAAAUCAUUUGUAUGGGACAUUUCUUCUGGGUUUCUUUUGGCCAGUCAUUCUGAUUUGCCUGGUUCAGAGUCCGUAUUUGGUUUAUCUCAGUGUCCUCCUGUGUGU
Bos taurus (domestic cattle) is the source of this 2899-nucleotide long non-coding RNA. Lineage: Eukaryota; Metazoa; Chordata; Mammalia; Artiodactyla; Bovidae. The record is from Ensembl.